Long non-coding RNA from Octopus sinensis (East Asian common octopus), 635 nucleotides. RefSeq lists it as uncharacterized. The record is from RefSeq and is a predicted model, not a curated record. The transcript has 3 exons. NCBI's taxonomy places the organism in Eukaryota, Metazoa, Mollusca, Cephalopoda, Octopoda, Octopodidae.
CGUACAAUAGACCAAUCCUUGCUAUGAGAGCUUCAUGCCAAAGUGUGGAUUGUAGUGUAGUUCAAUUUUAUAUCCAUUUAAGGAAUUGUUUCAAACAAAUGAUGACUACCUAAUAUUUCAAAUAUAUGACACACUGAUCGAACUUAGGCGGCUCGAUCCACUGAUCCAGCAGCGUCAGGACUUCAGCAAAAUGAAAGUAUUUUUCUUGUGCAAAGUACCGUAUUUGAUGGCAUAAAAGACGCACCUCAGUUUCAGCAGCGCAUAUUCAGGAGAAAAAGAUUUUAGAGCAUUGCCUAAUUUCGCAUAAAGAACCCGAAAUGAAUUUUUGAGACAUUUGUUGGUGGUGCAGAGAGAACGUGCGUUUUAUAUGCCAUAAAAAAAAAAUGAACGAUCCCCUGGUCAAAAGGAACACUUUCUGUAUGGCUUGUCACCGCGGGAAUACACAACUUUCACCAUUUUUACUUGUCAAUUCAGAGAGGUAAAUGAAUUUACUCUUUCUACCACCUUCUAUCAUCCGUCUUCUAGCUGUCACUCACCGAUGGACUUAACUACCUACAAAAUGGAUAAUAGAACUAAAACUAUUCUGUGUAUAACAACAACUCGAAGUUGUAACUUACAUUGUAUCUAUAUAAUAA